UGGGGUAUGGCUCAGGUGGAUGAAUGCUUGCCUAACAUGCAUGAGGCUUUGGGUUCAAUCCCUGGCACCUCAU
This 73-nucleotide transfer RNA is filed under the name Mus musculus (house mouse). RNAcentral's name for it is "tRNA-Val". The record is from RNAcentral. Lineage: Eukaryota; Metazoa; Chordata; Mammalia; Rodentia; Muridae.